GCUCAAGUGGGGUAGUGGUAACCUGGAUCGUUGCCAUUGAAUAAGUCGAUCCGCCCCGCGUUCGAUUCGCGGCUUGAGCA
This is a non-coding RNA of Tulasnella sp. 403, 80 nucleotides long. Lineage: Eukaryota; Fungi; Basidiomycota; Agaricomycetes; Cantharellales; Tulasnellaceae. The record is from the annotation of a GenBank genome assembly.